GCAUCGGGGUUGGGGUCAUCAUUAGGGACAGGGUGGCUGUGGGGUUGGGGACAUCAUGGGGACAUUGGGGACAGGACGACUGUGGGGUUGGGGUCAUCAUGGGGACAGGGUGGCAAUGGGGUCAGGACAUUGUUGGGGACAGGUUGGCUGCGGGGUUGGGGACAUCAUGGGGACACUGGGGACAGGAUGGCUGUGGGGUCAGGGACAUUGUUGGGGACAGGAUGGCUGUGGGGUCGGGGUCAUCAUGGGGACAGGGUGGCCAUGGGGUUAGGGAUAUCCUUGGGGACAGGGUGGCCAUGGAGUUGGGGUCAUCAUUAGGAACAGGACAGCUUUGGGGUCAGGAACGUUGUUGGGGACAGGGUGGCUGUGAGGUUGGGGUCAUCAAGGGGACAUUAGGGACAGGGUGGCUGUGGGGUUGGGGACAUUGGGGACAGGGUGGCCAUGGGGUCAGGGGCAUCCUUAGGAACAGGAUGACUGUGGGGUCAGGGACAUCCUUGGGGACAGGAUGGCCAUGGGGCUGGGGUCAUCAUUAGGGACAGGGUGGCUGCAGGGUUGGGGUCAUCAAGGGGACAUUGGGGAUAGGAUGGCCAUGGGGUCAGGGUCAUCAUUAGGGACAAGACAACAGUGGGGUCGGGGACAUUGGGGACAGGGUGGCCAUGGGGCUGGGGACAUUGGAGACAGGGUGACUGUGGGGUUGGGGAUAUUGGGGACAGGAUGGCCAUGGGGUCAGGGUCAUCAUUAGGGACAGGGUGGCUGCAGGGUUGGGGACACCAUGGGGGCAUUAGGAACAGGACUGUGGUGUCAGGGUCAUCAUGGGGACAGGGUGGCCAUGGGGUUGGGGUCAUCCUUAGGAACAGGACGGCUUUGGGGUCAGGGACAUUGUUGGGGACAGGGUGGCCAUGGGGUCAGGGAUAUUGGGGACAGGGUGGCUGUGGGGUCAGGGUCUUCAUUAGGGACAAGGUGACUAUGGGGUUGGGGUCAUCAUGGGGACAGGGUCGCCAUGGGGUUGGGGACAUUGGGAACAGGAUGGAUGUGGGGUCGGGGAGAUCUUUGGGGACAGGAUGGCCAUGGGGUCAGGGUCAUCAUGGGGACAGGGUGGCCAUGGGGUUGGGGUCAUCCUUAGGAACAGGACGGCUUUGGGGUCAGGGACAUUGUUGGGGACAGGGUGGCCAUGAGGUCAGGAUCAUCAUGGGGACAGGGUGGCCAUGGGGUUGGGGUCAUCCUUAGGAACAGGAUGACUGUGGGGUCAGGGACAUUGGGGACAGGGUGGCUGUGGGGUCAGGGUCAUCAAGGGGACAGGGUGGCCAUGGGGCUGGGGACAUUGGGGACAGGGUGGCCGUGGGGUUGGGGACAUCAUUAGGGACAGGGUGGCCAUGGGGUCAGGGACAUCCCUGGGGACAGUGGGGCCAUGGGGCUGGGGACAUUGGAGACAGGAUGGAAAUGGGGCUGGGGACAUCCUUGGGGACAGGAUGGCCGUGGGGUUGGGGUCAUCAUUAGGAUGGCUUUGGGGUCAGGGACAUUGUUGGGGACAAGGUGGCUGUGGGGUCAGGGACAUCAUGGGGACAGGAUGGCCAUGGGGUCAGGGACAUCCUUGGGGACAGGGUGGCCGUGGGGUUGGGGUCAUCAGUAGGAACAGGACAGCUUUGGGGUCAGGGACAUCCUUGGGGACAGGGUGGCUGUGGGGUCAGGGUCAUCACUAGGUACAGGACGACUGUGGGGUCAGGGACAUUGGGGACAGGAUGGCUGUGGGGUCGGGGUCAUCGUGGGGACAGGGUGGCCAUGGGGUCAGGGAUAUUGGGGACAGGGUGGCUGUGGGGUCAGGGUCUUCAUUAGGGACAAGGUGACUAUGGGGUUGGGGUCAUCAUGGGGACAGGGUCGCCAUGGGGUUGGGGACAUUGGGAACAGGAUGGAUGUGGGGUCGGGGAGAUCUUUGGGGACAGGAUGGCCAUGGGGUCAGGGACAUCCUUGGGGACAGGGUGGCCAUGGGGUUGGGGUCAUCAUUAGGGACAGGACAGCUUUGGGGUCAGGGACAUUGUUGGGGACAGGAUGGCCAUGGGGUUGGGGUCAUCAUUAGGAACAGGACGGCUUUGGGGUCAGGGACAUUACUGGGGACAGGACGGCUUUGGGGUCGGGCACCCCACGAGGACAUCACCGUCCCCAUCCCCUCAUCCCCCCACAGAGCUCCCGUCCCCCCCGUCCCCCCCGCUGUCCCCAUCCUCC
Molecule: long non-coding RNA, 2220 nt
Filed under: Anas zonorhyncha (Eastern spot-billed duck)
Lineage: Eukaryota; Metazoa; Chordata; Aves; Anseriformes; Anatidae
Description: lncRNA (ENSAZOG00000003700.1)
Source: RNAcentral